GAUGAAGAACGUAGCGAAAUGCGAUAAGUAAUGUGAAUUGCAGAAUUCAGUGAAUCAUCGAAUCUUUGAACGCACCUUGCACCCUUUGGCAUUCCGAAGGGUAUGCUCGUUUGAGUGUCAUUGUACUCUCACACUCUCCGAUCCUAUGGAUUCGGGGAGCGGUGGACUUGGGUGUUGCUGCCUUUCCCUGUGGCUCACCUCAAAUGCGUCAGUGCACCUCUUGGUUGGACAUAGUACGGCGUGAUAAGUGUCUUCGCCGGCACCUCGCAAGAUGGUGGCCGAUCGGGAGCUCUGCGCUUUCAAACCGUCUUCGGACAAUUUCUGACAUCUUGACCUCAAAUCGAGUAGGACUACCCGCUGAACUUAAGCAUAUCAAUAAGCGGAGGA
Molecule: unclassified non-coding RNA, 387 nt
Filed under: soil metagenome
Description: partial contains 5.8S ribosomal RNA, internal transcribed spacer 2, and large subunit ribosomal RNA
Rfam family: 5.8S ribosomal RNA (bases 1-120)
Source: RNAcentral